GUGGCAACUUUGUUGUCGAAGAGUCAAGUCUCCUGUUGAGCAAGCGUUUCCCUCAACUCUCAUUGCUCAUCAAAAAAGACAAC
Molecule: non-coding RNA, 83 nt
Organism: Caenorhabditis elegans
Lineage: Eukaryota; Metazoa; Nematoda; Chromadorea; Rhabditida; Rhabditidae
Source: Ensembl